This 18-nucleotide unclassified non-coding RNA is filed under the name Mus musculus (house mouse). RNAcentral's name for it is "oocyte_clustered_small_RNA14381". Lineage: Eukaryota; Metazoa; Chordata; Mammalia; Rodentia; Muridae. The record is from RNAcentral.
GACAGACCGAGCUUGUUA